Molecule: ribosomal RNA, 385 nt
Filed under: uncultured bacterium
Lineage: Bacteria
Description: bacterial SSU rRNA
Rfam family: Bacterial small subunit ribosomal RNA
Source: RNAcentral
AUUGAACGCUGGCGGCAUGCUUUACACAUGCAAGUCGAACGGCAGCGCGGGGCAACCUGGCGGCGAGUGGCGAACGGGUGAGUAAUAUAUCGGAACGUACCCAAGAGUGGGGGAUAACGUAGCGAAAGUUACGCUAAUACCGCAUACGAUCUAAGGAUGAAAGUGGGGGACCGCAAGGCCUCAUGCUCCUGGAGCGGCCGAUAUCUGAUUAGCUAGUUGGUGAGGUAAAGGACUCACCAAGGCGACGAUCAGUAGCUGGUCUGAGAGGACGACCAGCCACACUGGGACUGAGACACGGCCCAGACUCCUACGGAGGCAGCAGUGGGGAAUUUUGGACAAUGGGCGAAAGCCUGAUCCAGCAAUGCCGCGUGAGUGAAGAAGGCCU